RNAcentral lists this long non-coding RNA (1585 nucleotides) under Vigna radiata. RNAcentral's name for it is "long non-coding RNA (VRAD_LNC005354)". The record is from RNAcentral. Lineage: Eukaryota; Viridiplantae; Streptophyta; Magnoliopsida; Fabales; Fabaceae.
UUCANGNUGGAACUAGGCAGCUCUGACCNUUGCUCAAUGUUUUAACCAUAANUUUUUCUACANAGCUCUAAAUGAGAUGAGGUUUUUUUUCCUGGAAAGUAGACUCAAUUAUCUUUCAUUUGAUAUAUAAAAUGUAGCAUUUGGACCUCUGGUGUGGUUGCAGUUAUUUUUUUAAAAUCGAGUCCAGAGAGUGAAAAUGCUAAACCCAAUACUAGACUAAACAAAUAUCUAAACACAGUUAAAUUAAAUUAAAUGCAAAACUAAAUUAAAGAAAUUAAAAACAACUAAUCCUACAAUUCAAAUUAAUUUAAAACACAAGAAAUAAACAACACAAACUCCUACUAACAAUUUAUAUGACCAAUGCAUCUACUAAUGAAAUUGAAUUUGCAAUGCUGUAAAAUAACCUCCUGCCGUGACUACUAAAUUCCAUGAUUUCAAAGUUGAGAACUAUUUUCCUCUUUCCAGCACCGUGAUCAAUGGCAUGAGCAAAUGCCUUCAUUCAAUAAUGAUUCCCAAGGUGAAAGAAAUGCUGCAGCAUUAUUCUUGACCUUGCCUUUGCACACAAAGUCAAAGCACCAUGGAGUGAAGCCCAUCUUCCAACCGUAACAUCAUCACUUGGUAACAACAACUUCUUCCUAAUCUACUUUUGAUUUCAUAAAAAGAAUAAAAGAAAGCUAAUCUUUGCUUCCAGCAGUAACGUAGCACCCAUAGGGACACUUGCCUUGACCGAGGGACUCAACACCGAUUCAAGCCAAGCCUCACUCGUGAAUGCUCAGCAAACCAUGUCCCUUCAACCAAAUUUACUUCUUCAAUUUAAAACCAACUAAAACAUGUGCUUGGCCGUAACUCUUGGCAAAUCCCAUCAAUACCAGACCUACACCCAUUAAUUCAACUUGCUUCCAAACAUCCAAUCAUUAGCUUUCCUUCACACAAUUAAAAUUAAAUUGAAAAAGCUACCAACCAUAAGCUGAGUUAUGUUGCUGCAACUAGCUCUUCUCGGACCCACCAAUAUGCUAAAUAAAAUUAGAUGCAAAGCUACCUACUUUUCCCAUGUAUUCCCGAGACAAACUCUGCACCAAGCAUCCCAUCAUCCAAUUUGCAAAGCUUUUCAUUCUAAUAGAAAUAAAAGCAAUUGCUUGUACACUUACGCUGCCAAUCUUCCAUCAUCUUCUAACCUAUUUCCAAGUGUCACAUGUGAAAGCAAUAAUAGAACAAAUGCAAGUGAGAUGUUCAAUCUCUUCCAGCAACCAAAACCGACGGUGCUUCCCAAUGCAAAAUUCCAGACAGCAGCGUAAAUCACAACCCACAAAUGAAUUUUGUAACUCUCAUUAAUUCAACCAUUGUAACAGCUUUCAAUGUUCAGCAUAGAAGUAGUAAAUGUUUGAGUAAAGGGUGCAGAGAAGGAAUGCAAGAUCAUAAUAUAAAUGCUUCAUUCAUCAACCCACGGGCCAAGAGCCGUGAACAACCAAGCUCUCAUUUUCUUCAACACAGUAACGUUAUUUUUCCCACAAAAUUCUCUCAACGUUCAACAAAAGCAAAGAAGAGAAAGGAAAACAUGUUCCGAAUAUGUGUGUCCCCCCCCCCC